CCAAUUUAAUUGUCAUGCUCCUCCAACAUCUUCUACCAUUCUUUUGUCAAUUUCAAAGGUAUCUUCGAAGGUAUUAUCACUAAAGCUGGCGUAUUGGCUCAUACUAAAUUAUUGGCCUCCUUCGCUAAUGCAGCUAAUUUAGUCUGCAACAUUACAACCUCUACCUACAGCCGUUCUUAUUGUUCCUUCCAAUCGGUCUCCAUCGUUGCUUUCUCAGACACCAUGUUCGCCAUCUUUUCCUUAACUACAAAAAAAAAUACGAUGCUUGUCAAGAGUCCCCCUC
RNAcentral lists this long non-coding RNA (283 nucleotides) under Physcomitrium patens. RNAcentral's name for it is "long non-coding RNA (PPAT_LNC013121)". Lineage: Eukaryota; Viridiplantae; Streptophyta; Bryopsida; Funariales; Funariaceae. The record is from RNAcentral.